AAUAAACCGAUUUUUUAUUUUUUACAUUUAAUUUUUAACUCUUCGUUUUAUUCAAAAAAAUUUUACGAUUGAUAUUUUUGUUCUUAUUAGAUGAUAAAUCAUAAAUAGCACUUUACGUGUGACUAAUUUUUUUUUCUAAUUUCUUAAAUUUUUUUCAAAUAAGACGGAUGGUCAAACGUUGGACAUGAAAACUGAAGAAUUCAUUUUUU
Molecule: microRNA precursor, 209 nt
Filed under: Oryza brachyantha (malo sina)
Lineage: Eukaryota; Viridiplantae; Streptophyta; Magnoliopsida; Poales; Poaceae
Description: MIR812 microRNA precursor family
Rfam family: MIR812 microRNA precursor family
Source: Rfam by way of RNAcentral